Molecule: long non-coding RNA, 1710 nt
Organism: Cephus cinctus (wheat stem sawfly)
Lineage: Eukaryota; Metazoa; Arthropoda; Insecta; Hymenoptera; Cephidae
Exons: 3
Source: RefSeq, a predicted model, not a curated record
CGAUCGCGUGACAAAUUUCGCGUCAAUAAUCGGCCGUCGGACGUCAUUAUUGUUUAAUCAGCUGUCAGAGGAUCUAUGAGAAAAAUACGUGAAUCAUUCAUAAGACGCCGUAACGCGAAUUAUUGCUUUCGGGCCUUAAGAAUUUUUUUUUUUGCUUUCCGUCGUCAGGAUCACCGUGGAAAUUUAGUUAACGAAUAAUAUAUUUAAUAUUUCGUUAACUCGAGCCUCUAGCUACACGUCGAGACGCAGCGCGCAAUCUGCAUUCCGAUCAAUUUUCAGACCGGCGGCUUGUUUACGUCUACCUCAGUGGGCUCAGUGGCAAGCACGCACGUGCAGUCGGACCGUGCAAAGGAGAUUAAGCGCGCAGGGACAAAAGUACAAAAAUAAGGUCGGUGGCUGACGAUUUAGUUUCGGCCGCGCACAGUUCAGCCGGAUUUUCAUUUUGUAACGGACAAAAAUAUCAUUGCGCGAAAUAACUCAUUACCGACGUCCCGUUUGGUUGAACGAAGUUCAAGGAGAUGGCAGCAGCAGCAGCAAAAAAAGAAGACAGCUCCUGAGUGUAGUUGGCAAUUGUGUUUACAUCGGCAGUGACGUACAGAGCAAACGGAUUAAAGAGACAUUGGACAGGAUCGUCGCUUCAAACGAAAUGGUACCGGUGGAAGCAACAUGGAAGCGAGAGAGAGAGAGCCGACAGUGUAACAAUAAAGGAUGCGAAUACCGAGAACUGUUUAUUUAACGUUCUCAGGGCACUUUUACGUUUCUCGCGAUUCCACGACGGUUCGCACCGUGAAUUUCAUGGAAAUAAUCAUAACUUCUCUUUUUUCUGACAGUUUUCUCAGGCGCGCCGCCAGAUGGCCAAAAGCAUCGCGAGAACGUCUUACCGCUGGUUUUCAAUACACGUUUUACCUUGACUGGCAGCAGCUUCUCUGCUUCCGCUUAUUAAACUUUCCCAUCUGACGUAAUAAUAACGAGAACAAACGAGCGAGGUCCAAGACGAUAUAUGACGACGGAACGAUGACGAUCGAUGGUACAAAGUCAAUAGUUACGACAGCUUCGAUGCGAGUACAACAGGACAUACAGUGCUACCAAUUCAAUCCGUAAUGGAGACUGAAAGAAAAGUCUGCGACUGAAGUUUCCGUCGUGUUAGUACGUUCGGAGCCGCCGCGUGGCGCUGGUGUCGCUCGAUAUCGAACCUACGUAAACGGGCGGGCAAGUUUAAUUGCCGGUAACGUUUGCUCGGCUGUUUACGUGGCGUGGCUAACAAGAAACGUCCGACGGCGAAUCUCAACGCGAUCUACGUCGGGUCUGCGAGUGCCAUUGAAAAAGCAUAAAUCUCAUUAACGGCUACGAGUUAAAGGUCACUGACGAACCGCCACUACGAUGCUCUUGGUCUUAUCCAACGGACGAAUGGACCGCACCGGUCGUAUUCGUUCUGCCGUGAAAAGGAGCCGAAACGGUGCGAGGCAAGGAGGAGAAGAAAAAAAAGUAGAAAAUAAAAUAACUACGGGGGCACGCGUCUGCUUUCUAUCUCUUGUGAACUCGCCCGUGCAAGGAAUCCCACGACAAUGCUUGUAUACUUAUAUACAGGACUGUACCUAUAUAGUUAGGUAUAUAUACCAACAGACAAUAACGUCAAUCAUGAUUAAUCAAUCAUUAAAAAAAAAAAGUGAAGUCAUUCAAAAAAAAAUUGAUCAUCUAAUUCGUGUGCCA